GUGGGGAAUCUUGCGCAAUGGGCGAAAGCCUGACGCAGCCAUGCCGCGUGAAUGAUGAAGGUCUUAGGAUUGUAAAAUUCUUUCACCGGGGACGAUAAUGACGGUACCCGGAGAAGAAGCCCCGGCUAACUUCGUGCCAGCAGCCGCGGUAAUACGAAGGGGGCUAGCGUUGCUCGGAAUUACUGGGCGGAAAGGGCGCGUAGGCGGACACUUAAGUCAGGGGUGAAAUCCCGGGGCUCAACCCCGGAAUUGCCUUUGAUACUGGGUGUCUUGAGUACGGGAGAGGUGUGUGGAACUCCGAGUGUAGAGGUGAAAUUCGUAGAUAUUCGGAAGAACACCAGUGGCGAAGGCGACACACUGGCCCGUUACUGACGCUGAGGCGCGAAAGCGUGGGGAGCAAACAGGAUUAGAUACCCCGGUAGUCC
This 425-nucleotide ribosomal RNA is filed under the name uncultured bacterium. RNAcentral describes it as "partial 16S ribosomal RNA". It matches the Rfam family "Bacterial small subunit ribosomal RNA", at positions 354 to 796 of the family's 1533-position model. The record is from RNAcentral.